UAGCCCUCUUCGAAAAUUUUAUUCUAAAAAUAAAACCGUUAAAUUUUUAUUUAUAAAUAUGGUCCUAUAAAAACGGUAAAUGAUUCACCGCUUUUAAAAGCGGUGAACCAUUCAUCGCUUUCUUUAUUUUUUUCACUUCUUUUUAUAUUUCUACGAUGGUAAAAGCAGUGAAUGGUUCAUCGCUUUUAUUCUUUUUCUACUUCUAAAGAAGAAUUAUGAAUACGGUGAAUCAUUCACCGCAUUUAGAGGUCUAUUUUUAUAAUUAUUUUUUAAAAAAAUUAUUUUUAUAAUUAUAAAAAUCGAUAGGAUUAUUUAUAAAAAAAAUUCCUU
RNAcentral lists this long non-coding RNA (330 nucleotides) under Ananas comosus (pineapple). RNAcentral's name for it is "long non-coding RNA (ACOM_LNC004614)". Lineage: Eukaryota; Viridiplantae; Streptophyta; Magnoliopsida; Poales; Bromeliaceae. The record is from RNAcentral.